UACAGAGGGGGCAAGCGUUAUUCGGAAUUACUGGGCGUAAAGGGCUCGUAGGCGGCCAACUAAGUCAGACGUGAAAUCCCCAGGCUCAACCUGGGAACUGCGUCUGAUACUGGAUGGCUUGAAUUCGGGAGAGGGAUGCAGAAUUCCAGGUGUAGCGGUGAAAUGCGUAGAUAUCUGGAGGAAUACCGGUGGCGAAGGCGGCAUCCUGGACCGACAUUGACGCUGAGGAGCGAAAGCUAGGGGAGCAAACGGG
RNAcentral lists this ribosomal RNA (253 nucleotides) under uncultured bacterium. RNAcentral describes it as "partial 16S ribosomal RNA". It matches the Rfam family "Bacterial small subunit ribosomal RNA", at positions 524 to 776 of the family's 1533-position model. The record is from RNAcentral.